AUUGAACGCUGGCGGCAUGCUUUACACAUGCAAGUCGAACGGUAACAGGCCGCAAGGUGCUGACGAGUGGCGAACGGGUGAGUAAUGCAUCGGAACGUGCCCAGUCGUGGGGGAUAACUACUCGAAAGAGUAGCUAAUACCGCAUACGAUCUAUGGAUGAAAGCGGGGGACCGUAAGGCCUCGCGCGAUUGGAGCGGCCGAUGUCAGAUUAGGUAGUUGGUGGGGUAAAGGCUCACCAAGCCAACGAUCUGUAGCUGGUCUGAGAGGACGACCAGCCACACUGGGACUGAGACACGGCCCAGACUCCUACGGGAGGCAGCAGUGGGGAAUUUUGGACAAUGGGCGCAAGCCUGAUCCAGCAAUGCCGCGUGCAGGAAGAAGGCCUUCGGGUUGUAAACUGCUUUUGUACGGAAAGAAAAGGCUCUGGUUAAUACCCGGGGCUAAUGACGGUACCGUAAGAAUAAGCACCGGCUAACUACGUG
Molecule: ribosomal RNA, 482 nt
Filed under: uncultured bacterium
Lineage: Bacteria
Description: partial 16S ribosomal RNA
Rfam family: Bacterial small subunit ribosomal RNA
Source: RNAcentral